GCUGAAACACUCACUUUAUUGUUGACUGAUUGAAGUUUAUUGGUGCUUAAGGUGCUGAAAUACUGAGGUGCUAAUCAGGAACCUUGUAUGUGUCAGAUCCUACUGGCUAAUUCACAUGAAGGUUUUACCUCUUGCCAUUCUGCCCAAGUCACUGAUGACAGCUUUAGUUGAUAGACACCAGGCAUGUGAAUAUAGCAGGAGAUCCAGCUCCCUGGUUUGUUGUAUACAUAUAAAAGUUUGGAAAGCCUAUCAAGGCAUUUCAUUAAUUAAGCCUUAAAACCACUGAAACCAAACCUAUGCCAAGGUUCCCACUUGACACAUGUUCCUCCAAAGAUAUUAUCUCUUUCAAUAAUAUAAAGCUAAGAAAAGCACAUUGAAGGGAAUGAGUAUCACCUGCACAGUUUACCAGCUCUUCAGCAUGACAGAGAACAAAAAAAUUCCUUCAUUAGGAAACUGGGUCAGUCUUCUUUUCACAUACUCUUCCAAAAUAUACAGCAUGGCCAAAAGAUACAGAUGUCUUGAUAAUUUGUUCACUUUAAGCCUUGCUAAUAAAAAAAAAAAUAAAUACCCAUCACAUGGACAUGAAUUAGUCUAAUCACUUGGAUCAGACAGAUCACUUUUUAGAAUCUACUUUCAUAUAUAAAUUGAGUUACUGCAGACCUCACCCUUUUGGGGGGAAAAAAAAAAGCUAGGCCUCUGUAACACUUCCUAGGCUUGACUUCACUGGGGAAGCACAAUGAAAUACAAUAUGACAAGAGCUGUAACAUCCACAGUGGCUGGUAUAGUAAUUAUGUCCUAUCAUUAAGUGUCUUUUUUUAUUAGUUUCAUAUUCUCAGGCUUUCCUUUGUAUCUGCAGUGCAUAUUAGGAAAAUAGAAGCAGAAUAAAGUACUAGUCAAUUUAAAAGACUUUAAAUCAGAAAGUCUCUUGUUGUCAUUGGAUGGGCAAGCAAGGGAUUAACCACAGAACUGGACAUCCAAGAUGUCCUCUCCUUAAAACCAAUCCCACAAUACUACUACUCAAAUUAAGAAUCCUUUAGAGGGGAUAAGAAAAAAAUUUUAUAGUCUAUCCCACUAUUCAAAAUUGUGUAUGAAAUUUAAGCCAGAUACAAACUAUUAAAAAACAUCAGAGCAUAGCUUCUGCUAAAUGACAAC
RNAcentral lists this long non-coding RNA (1152 nucleotides) under Heterocephalus glaber (naked mole-rat). RNAcentral describes it as "lncRNA (ENSHGLG00000039469.1)". The record is from RNAcentral. Lineage: Eukaryota; Metazoa; Chordata; Mammalia; Rodentia; Bathyergidae.